UUGGGAUGUCGGUCGCGUCCUCACACUCAGGAGCUCCGGGCAAGGUGCGCUGAGACGGUCGUAUCAUCUCGUCGGUACCUGGCUUUGGGUCCUCGCUCGCCAAGGACACGCGGGCACACGUACAGACGCACACGGUUGUCUUCGAUCAGUGCCAAAGGGAAGAGGCACGCGUGACGUCACGGCCUGGACUCUCCGCAAGGGCGUGAGUGAGGGAGUGCUCAACGUGACUCCAGCGAACGUUUGUGUGACUCAGUCGCGCUCUGAAGCUGGUCCGAGCCAGACCUGUGAUUCCGCGCUCCGUAUAACGCUGCCGAGGUUAGACCCUGACACGCGCACCCUACUCCUACGCAAAGAUUACGUGUGUUAAGUGAUGACAGCGGGCCAACGCACCGGGCGAGAAGGGUGACACAACCCUUAAAAAACUCAUCGUUGAAACCCUGUUGUUUGUAAGGGUAUUUGAGACAACACCAUGACAUGAGGGACAGACCGAUAUCUUGAAAGGUCCCCUCCCGCGCCUCCUUCAGGUAAGUGAAAAGUAGUAGUUGUGGUUGUAGUAGUGGUAGUAGUAGUAGUAGUAAGACUUCUGGUACUACUUCUACUAUUACUACAGAUAAUUUGUUGCGACACAUUUAUACCUAUUCGCAAUCCCAGCAGGCAACUUCCGUUAAGGACAAUUAUAACUCAUGUAACAUAUUCCUCGGCAUAUUAUUUUUUUUUUUCAUUCUGUUGAAGAUGUCAUUUACAUUUUUCGCAAAAUAACUAAUGCUUGAUACUCUGAGAGCCAAGCGACCC
Penaeus vannamei (Pacific white shrimp) is the source of this 792-nucleotide non-coding RNA. The record is from RefSeq and is a predicted model, not a curated record. NCBI's taxonomy places the organism in Eukaryota, Metazoa, Arthropoda, Malacostraca, Decapoda, Penaeidae.